This 497-nucleotide ribosomal RNA is filed under the name uncultured bacterium. RNAcentral describes it as "partial 16S ribosomal RNA". It matches the Rfam family "Bacterial small subunit ribosomal RNA", at positions 28 to 507 of the family's 1533-position model. The record is from RNAcentral.
GAUGAACGCUGGCGGCGUGCCUAAUACAUGCAAGUCGAGCGAACGGACGAGAAGCUUGCUUUUCUGAUGUUAGCGGCGGACGGGUGAGUAACACGUGGAUAACCUACCUAUAAGACUGGGAUAACUUCGGGAAACCGGAGCUAAUACCGGAUAAUAUUUUGAACCGCAUGGUUCAAAAGUGAAGGACGGUCUUGCUGUCACUUAUAGAUGGAUCCGCGCUGCAUUAGCUAGUUGGUAAGGUAACGGCUUACCAAGGCAACGAUGCAUAGCCGACCUGAGAGGGUGAUCGGCCACACUGGAACUGAGACACGGUCCAGACUCCUACGGGAGGCAGCAGUAGGGAAUCUUCCGCAAAGGGCGAAAGCCUGACGGAGCAACGCCGCGUGAGUGAUGAAGGUCUUCGGAUCGUAAAACUCUGUUAUUAGGGAAGAACAUAUGUGUAAGUAACUGUGCACACCUUGACGGUACCUAAUCAGAAAGCCACGGCUAACUACGUG